GAUGAACGCUGGCGGCGUGCCUAAUACAUGCAAGUAGAACGCUGACGGAGGAGCUUGCUCUUCUGGAUGAGUUGCGAACGGGUGAGUAACGCGUAGGUAACCUGCCUGGUAGCGGGGGAUAACUAUUGGAAACGAUAGCUAAUACCGCAUGACAACAGUUAUUGCAUGAUAACUGUUUAAAAGGGGCAACUGCUCCACUACCAGAUGGACCUGCGUUGUAUUAGCUAGUUGGUGAGGUAACGGCUCACCAAGGCGACGAUACAUAGCCGACCUGAGAGGGUGAUCGGCCACACUGGGACUGAGACACGGCCCAGACUCCUACGGGAGGCAGCAGUAGGGAAUCUUCGGCAAUGGACGGAAGUCUGACCGAGCAACGCCGCGUGAGUGAAGAAGGGUUUCGGAUCGUAAAGCUCUGUUGUAAGAGAAGAACGAGUGUGAGAGUGGAAAGUUCACACUGUGACGGUAUCUUACCAGAAAGGGACGGCUAACUACGUG
Molecule: ribosomal RNA, 495 nt
Filed under: uncultured bacterium
Lineage: Bacteria
Description: partial 16S ribosomal RNA
Rfam family: Bacterial small subunit ribosomal RNA
Source: RNAcentral